Molecule: transfer RNA, 93 nt
Filed under: Pseudomonas sp. 24 E 1
Lineage: Bacteria; Pseudomonadati; Pseudomonadota; Gammaproteobacteria; Pseudomonadales; Pseudomonadaceae
Also listed under: 2 other names
Description: tRNA-Leu
Source: RNAcentral
CUUGAUCGUGGGCGGGGAUGCCAAGGCGUUCAAGGCGUUCUUCGCGGCGAUUGCGCAGCAUCGGGUUUGGGAUCGUGAGCCUAAGGCCAAGGC